UAUGGUGGACUGGAGAGAUGGCUCAGUGGUUAAGAGCACUUCCAGAGGUCCUGAGUUCAACUCCCAGUAACCACAUGGUGGCUCAGAACCAUCAAGCAUACAUCCAGAUAGAGCACUCUCAUAUACAUAAAAUAAAUAAAUAACAUAUAAUAACAUUUUAUAAAAGAUUUAUAGCGCGCGUGUGUGUGUGUGUGUGUGUGUGUGUGUGUGUGUGUGUGCAGGCAUUUGCAGGUGCCUGGGAAGGCCAGCAGAGGGCAUUGUAGCUGGAGUUAUCGAUGGCUGUGAGACACCUACGGAUGCAGAUGACUAAGCUGAUCUUCUGGAAGAGCAGCAAGCCCUCUCAACCGCUGAGCCAUCUCUCCAGCCUGAUAAAUUUGGUUUGAGAAGUCAUUGAAGAUGCGUGUUGUGGUGCCAGUCUUUAGCCUCAGCACUCAAGAGGUGGAGGAGGCAGGUGGAUCUCUGGGAGUUCAUGGCCAGGUUGGCCUGUAUUAGAAGUUCCAGGGCUACAUAGAGAUACUCGGUCUCAACAAAAAGCACCGAGGCCCUGAAGCCAUGGCCAUGUGCAGCUCUUGCAGGGGAUGCUGGCUGGGCUCCUAGCUAUCGCAUGACUGUUUACGGCCAUCAAACUCCAGUCCCAAGGCAUCUGUUUUUUUGGUUCUUUUUUUUUUUUUUUUUUCGGAGCUGGGGACCGAACCCAGGGCCUUGCGCUUGCUAGGCAAGCGCUCUACCACUGAGCUAAAUCCCCAACCCUGUCCCAAGGCAUCUGAUGUCCUUCCUGGCCCCUGCCAGCGACACAUGCAGGUGUUAUACAUAUAUGCACGCAAGCAUAUAUGUAACCAUAUAUGUAUCCUAUAUGUAGCCAUUAUACUUUAGAGGGUCUCUACGUAGCCUGAGCUGGCUUGGAGCUUGCUAUGUAGACCAGACUAGCCAUGAACUCACAGAGAUCCGUCCGCCUCUCCCUCCCAAGUGUUGGGAUCAAAGGUGUGCACCAUUGUACCCGGCUGACUACUCUUAGGUGCAAACAUUGAUAGCAAAACGAAGCAGCAGUACUUAAAAUCCUCUGUCCUCUACCAGGUCUCAUGGUCUCCUUUGUAGAGCCACCUCCUUCUUUCCUCAAGUGGAAAUUCUAGUUUCUUUAGAAAGUUAGUUAGGUCAAAGGUGUUCUCUUGGGGGCACACAGGGAAAAGGGUGUUUUGCUCGUGCAGGUGUGGGGUGGGGGUAUAUUUGCCCGAAGUAGUCGCAGGUGGGAGGAUGUUUGGAUACAGCAGACACGUGAAAGACCCCGUGAUGGAGUAUAGAUGUGAUCCCACAGACAGUGGGAGACAUCACUGAGCCUUGGUUUGGUUUGCUCUGCCUCGCUAUUUUUUGCUAAAGACACGUAUUCCUUGGUUGUGUGCCUUGGUUCUUCCCCUCAACUUGUGGUAAUGCGGCCAUUGAGAGAAACUCUCCCAAGAGCUGCUUGUGAGGCUCCUGCAGCAGCUUACAGCUUCUGCGGCCUCGCCUCUGUCCCUUUGGCGAGCCUGGCAGUUUUCAGGAUUGAACUACAGCCGUCCCCCCCUUCCCCCACAUCCUAAUAACUUCUCUCUUCCACGACUGGAAGGUCGUGCUGGGUGGUGGGCUAGAGUAGAGGUUGAACCCGAAUUAAAAGUAGGUUGCGAGGGGUUGGGGAUUUAGCUCAGUGGUAGAGCGCUUGCCUAGAAAGCUCAAGGCCCUGGGUUCGGUCCUCAGCUCCGGGGAAAAAAAGAAAGAAAAAAAAAAUAGGUUUCAAAAAAAAUGUAUGUCUACACCAUGCGUUCUGCGUAAGGUAAGCACCCACACAGGCCGAGCUUUUAUCUGCCAGGAUUUCUAAAGAAUCUGGUCUACUCAUUGUCCUGAUAAUACUGUUGUCAUUUCUCACUUGCCUUUGUCACAGACAAGGCAGGAUUAGGAGAGCCCUAAGAGGUGUCCUGCAUUUCAGACUUCUUACCUACCCUCAGUGUUCCCACGCAGCAGUGUUCCUGUGGAGAGGAAUUCUUCCCAACGACACCACAACUCUGUUCUUGCUCUGUUGAUUCAAAGUCAUACAGAGCCCAAAGUGGUGAGGCUCAGUCCCCCUUCCAGGUCUGUAAAAUCAUUGUGUACCUCCCAGGGGGAGCAUUUCUCCCUGUCAAGCAGAACCAGAGAACAGGAAAACGUUUGUUAGGCAAUCGGUGAGCUGUGCCACUCCUCCCAAUCCUAGCUCCUCCAUCGCUCUCCUCUUCCCUGCCUUCCUUCCCUCCCUUCCCUCCACCUCAUAUAUUUAUUUAUAUUUAUUGUAUUUAUUUGAAUUUAUUUGUAUCUGUGUUUAUUUAUUUGUACUUGUGUGUGUGUGCCUUGAGUGUGCUAGGCAAGGGCUCUACCCCCGAGCUACAUUGUCAGCCCUCACCUCAGGAUCAGAUUGUAGGAUCUUUAUCAGUGUAUGCUCCAACUUUUUCUCUCAGCCUAAAGCUUUUUUGUAAACAUUUAUGUAGUGUGUGUGUAUGUGUAUAUGUGUGUUUGUGUAUGUGUAUAUAUGUGUGUGUGUAUGUGUAUAUGUGUGUAUGUGUGUAUAUGUCUAUGUGUAUAUGUGUGUGUGUAUGUGUAUAUGUAUAUGUGUAUAUGUGUGUAUGUGUGUAUGUGUAUGUGUAUAUGUGUGUAUGUGUUUAUGUGUGUGUAUACGUGUGUAUGUGUGUAUAUGUGUGUGUAUAUGUGCGCAUGUGUGUGUGUGUGUGUGUGUGUGUGUGUGUGUGUGUGUAUGCUGCACACACUGCCCAGCAGUAGAAGUCAGAAGAUAGCUUUCUAGGCUCAAUUCUGAUACUUGAGGUUUGGUGGCAAAUAUUUUUUACCCACUAAGCCAUCUCACUGGCCCCUAGACUACCUCUCUCUCUCCCCAACCCCUCUCUCUCCCCUUAUUUCUUUUUUUCAGCGUUAACUGACAUUUUUUAAUUUGCAUGCCACAUUAGCCUUCCUCUGUUCACUUCUCCUUGUUCUCCUGCCCUGCGGAUGGAGCCCAGGUUGUCUGGCAUCUGCCAGGUGAGUGCUACAGCAUGAGCCACCCCCCCUCCCGCAUAGCCUUUCGGGAGGGUUUUCUUAAAGUCUUUAAUGUUGGUUCCUGCCUUAGUUCCUAGAAACUUUAUUGUUCUACCUUUUAUGUUUAUACCUGACCCCUGAUGUCUGAUCCAUCCUGGGGUUUGGUCUGUGCCUUGGAGACAUUUCCCAGACCUCCAUUCUGACCACGACUCAAGAGUCCACAUGUGACCAGGGCUGUGUUUAAAUUCUUUAUUCUGCUCCGAGGCCUAUUUGUUUAUAUUUGUUUAUUAUCUUACCACCGGCACCAGUCUCCAGUACUGGAGGUUUACUGUAGUCAUUGAUGCGCGCUCGACCUGGAAGCCAGCCUCGCUCCCUCCAUAGAGCCUCGUGCUUACCCUUGGGCCUUGUGCUUCUACACAGACUCAGGUGUCAGCUUGCCUGCUCUGUCUGCCAGGGUUGGAAGGGAGGCACAGUGAAUUUCUAAGUGUGUUUGAGGAGCUUUAGGAGAAUGAGUCUUCUGGUCUUAGAUCAUCAGACAUUCUUCUACUUAGAUUUCCCGUAAUUCCUCCUACGAUUGUCACACAUGUAAUGGGGGAGCAGUACACAUCUUUACCCAGCAUUUUGGAGGUGGAGACAGGAGGAUUUGGAGUUUAAGAUCAGCAUAAAAUAUAUAGGCAUUUCAAAGCUAUCUUGGGCUACGCAAUACCCUGCCUCAAAAAACAAGUGUAAAUAAAUAUGUGUGUGUGAUACACACACACACACACACACACACACACACACACCUACCUUUCCUGUUUAGAGUCCAUUUCGUUUUUGUUUUGAGACAGGGCGUCACUAUGUAAAUCUGGCUGGCCUGAAACACACUAUUAGACCAGGUGGACCUCAAAUUCAGAGUUCCGCCUGCCUCUGCUUCCUCUGCUUGGCUUAAAGAGAUGCAACACCACCCUCAGCGCUGCCUCCCUCUCUCUCUCUCUCUCUCUCUCUCUCUCUCUCUCUCUCUCUCUCUCUCUCUCAAGGUAGGACCUUACAUAUUUGCCCAGGUUAGCCUUGAAUUUUACUCUGUAGCUCAGGCAGGCCUUGAACUUUUGAUCUUCCCGUGUUCAGUAGCCAAAAUGCCAGUCCUGACCUGUGAACGUGCUUUUGUUUGCAGGUUCAGUUAAGGGUUUUGCUUCCACUUUGAAGUUCAGGGGUCCACACUUAAGGGUUGACUUCAUGAGCUGGAGAGAUGGCUCAGUGGUUAAGAGCACUGCCCGCUCUUCCAGAGGUCCUGAGUUCAAUUCCCAGAAACCACAUGGUGGCUCACAACCAUCUGUAAUGGGAUCCAAUGUCCUCUGCUGGUGUGUCUGAAGACAGCGGCAGUGUACUCAUACAUGAAAUAAAUAAAUCUUUUUUUUUUUUUUUUGGUUCUUUUUUUCGGAGCUGGGGACUGAACCCAGGGCCUUGCGCUUCCUAGGUAAGCGCUCUACCACUAAGCUAAAUCCCCAGCCAAAUAAAUCUUUUUUUAAAAAAAGGGAAGGGGGUUGACUUCAUGUAGAAACUCCCCCCCCCCCAGCUGGGGACCAAACACAGGGCCUUGCGCUUGCUAGGCAAGCGCUCUACCACUGAGCUAAAUCCCCAAUCCCCAAAACUCUUGCACCAAGGAAUUAAUGUCACCAAAAUGAGGUGCUGACUGUGACACUGAGCUGGGCACAGGGAUAGAAAGGAGAUAACUAGACAGGUACUGUGUGCUGACUUUAUAGAACCAAGCCUCCCUGCUUCCCUCCCUCCUUCCUCUCUUCUUCCCUUCCUCAACUUGAGGACCAUUUCAUGAGAUUUUGAGAGAAAAACCACAGGGCAGGCAAGCUAUUUAAAAACCCACAGCUGCUGGAAGGGGGAAGGUAAUGGAGACAAAGAGGGAAAGGCAGCCCUGGGUUAGAGUCUGAAGCAAACUGCAGCCUGCUCUGUAAGGAGAGUGUAGUCUUCAGAGAAACAGGGUGGCAGCCUAAGGUGCCAGGGCAAGCAUGGCUGGAAUUUGGGAAUCCAAAGAGCCGUGAAGAAAAGCAAACAAAAGGGCCGGGGAAGUAGCUCAGUGGGUGAAAUCAUUUGCUCUACAGGCAUGAGAACCAGAAUUUGAGCCCAGCACACACAAGUAAAAAGUCUGUCAUGGUUGUGUUGUAUCUGUAACCCCAGCUUUGUGGACGAAGCCGGGUAGAUCCCAAGAUCUUGUGGGCCAGCUAGUCUAGCCAACAUGGUGAAUUUCCCAUUCAAAAGAGACCCUGUCUUAAGGCAAGAACAGAACAGUUGAGGAAGACACCAGAGUAUGCUCUGGUCUCUGCAUUUCUAGGAAUGAUUAUACAAUCUGAUCCACAUACUCAUGCUUGUGCAUGCAUGUGCACGUGCGCACACACACACACACACACACACACACACAGAUAGAGACAGAGAGACAGAAAGACAAAGAGACAGAGACAGAGAGACAAACACAGAGACAGAGACACAGAAAAACAGACAGAGACAGAGAGAAACAGAUAGAGACACAGAAAAAGACGGAGAGACAAAGACAGAAAGAGACACACAGAGAGACAGAGAGACACAUACACACAGAGAGACAGAGACACACAGGGAGGCAGAGACACACAGAGAGAAGAGACCAAAAAGUCUCUCUCCUUCUUCCUUCUCCUCCUCUUCUUCCUCCUCCUUCUCCUCCUCCUAAGAUGGCAGUUUCAUGUUCAGGUUAGCUUUGAACACAUUAUGUAGCUGAGGCUAGCCUUGAACAUCCUGAUCCUCCUGCCUCCACCUCCCAAGUGCUGGGAUUACAGUUGUGCACCACCAUGCCUGGCCCAAAAGGAAUUAUUACCAAGGGACUAGAGAUUUAGCAGCAGGAAGAAUAAAUACCUAAAUAAUAAAUAUGCGGAAACGUAUGUCCAAUAGCCACCUCUUGGAGCACUCGUUAUGUGCUAACCACUGACUUAGGUGUUAUGUGAGCCUGACCUAAUGGGAUUCUUACGACAGCCCUGUGAAGUAAGUGCUGGUAUUAUUUUUAUUUAACGCAUGAGGAAAGUGAUGCUUGGUGGUUGUGUCAGGAGAAGGUGGUCAGUCUGGAUGGUCUGAGAGGACAGGAGGACGGAUGGUCUUCUCACCAUCUUCACAAGGCACAUGCUCCUCGGUAAUCUUAACGACCUUCCCUCCACGUUUUUUUUUUUUUCUUUUUUUUUUUCUUUUAAUCUCGUUCCCAAAUCCAGAUUCUUCCCUUAGCUUCGCGAAUCUGCUCUAGGAUGGAUGCAGAGGCUCCUGUUUCCAUGGUGAUGAAGAGGCUGGUACAGCGCUCUCCAAGUGUAGGCGCUGGAGAGAAUUGUCUUAGAAUCGAAAGGUGUCGCAGCAGGGCCCUUGAGAAAGCCAAGCCUGAGACACCAGACCUCCCUGGAGCUCCAUCCAGCAGCGCCUCCACAACUUCUUCGCCCCUGUCCCGCUAACCUGGGGGACUCGAACCCUAAAAAGCAAGCAGAGUCGCCCCAGACUCAAGCAGGGUCGCAGGUCCGUUCGCUGCCAUUAGACUGGCAUUAGAGCCUGCCCCUUGGCGUUCUGACCUCUACUGAAGACCAGGCUGAGACACGCAGCCUAACGGACCAAACGACCUCUGGAUUCCGGGCUUCCAUUGGUGGACAGCCAUUUUUGGAUUACCUGGACCACAAUCUAGGAGAAAGCCGGCCAAGUCGGUAAACAAAGAGAAGAGGCCAGAGGGCAGCCGGCUCAUCGAGAAAGCCAGGGACUGCAGGGAGGUGAGGGAGGGAGGACUCUCCCAUGUCCCAGGGACAGCACAGCCCUUCUGCAUACACUGUCAACAGAGGCAUGUAGGACACCCGUCCAUGACAGAUACACUCCCCUACAGAAGCCGUACUCAUUGGGGACACUCAGGCCCCCACUUUCUCCCCACCUCUACUCAUUAGAUUCCCUCUUUGCUCUGUAUCUGCCUGAGUUUCUCUUUAAAGGCAGAGGGGUCCUCUUGUCACUAGGGACAUGAGACAGUCUUUCAAGGACUUUAGUGGGCCAUGGGCACUUUUACCUCAUUUUGGAAACAUUACAACAUUAGGGUGCCUUUGUGCCAGGACCGUGACCACUGAGACCAGCCUCUUACCCGACGCCCGACAGCUCUACGAGGUUACAGUGCGUGCCUUUUUGCUUUUGUUCUUACUCUAUAAUGAACUUAUAUACACGGUUUAUAUUUAACUUGGAGGGGAAUUCUUAAGAGCUGUACUGGCUGGCUUUGUGUGUCAACUUGACACGAACUAGAGUCGGCAGAGAGGAAGGAGCCUCCAUGAGAAGCAGCUCUAAGGCAUUUUCUCAGUUAAUGAGCAGUGGAGGAGGGCUGCUUGUGCCACUCCUGGGCUGUCAGUCCUGAGUUCUAUAAGAAAGCCCGCUGAGCAAGCCCGAAAGCCCCAACCCUCCAUGGCCUCUGCAUCGGCUCCUGCCUCCAGGUUCCUGCCCUGUGUGAGUUCCUGUCCUGACUUCCUUUGGUGAUGAACAGCGAUGUGGAAGUGUAAGCUGAAUAAACCCUUUCCUCCUCAGCUUGCUUCUUGGUCACGGUGUUUCAUCACAGCAAUAGAAACCUGACUAAGGGGGUUGGGGAUUUAGCUCAGUGGUAGAGCGCUUACCUAGGAAGCGCAAGGCCCUGGGUUCGGUCCCCAGCUCCGAAAAAAAAGAACCAAAAAAAAAAAAAAAAAAAGAAACCUGACUAAGACAGUCCCUAGAUAGAAGGGCUAUGCUGAAUUAUCUCCUGCCCUUUCCUCACCCAGGGUCUCAUGUAGCCCAGGCUGGCCUCGAAUUCUGUAUGUAGCUGAGGAUGACCUUGAAUCUCUGAUCCUCCCGCCUCUAACUCCUGUGUGUUGAAGUUAGAUGGGUGCGAGCCACCAUAUCUACUGGGAUUAGAGCCCAGGGCUUCACGAUCGCUAGGCAACCACUAUCAGCUGAGCCACAUCUUCCGCUCCCCAAUUUCAUCCUCGCUCUUACUGUUAUUUAUUAUGAGAAAGAGAACCCGAGAGAACGGUAGGUGUGUCAAACCAGCACUCAAGCCAGGAAGUUGGCAAAGCUGGAAUUUUAGAGCCAGGUUUGUCUGAUUCUGGUCAUUUUUCUUUCUUUGCUUCAAAAGCUCCUUGGGAAAAGUUCUGAGUGGGCCCACUGUUCUGCUCCCUGCCUUCUCCCACUCAGUGUUACCUAAAUACUCCUAUAGAGGCAGCUCCCGAUUCUAAGCUAGACUAUUUAAAGAGUAGAUGUAUAACUUGACUGUUCGGAAGGAAAACACAUUUUUUCCUCAGAGGGGAGAAAAGACGUUAAGUGGACCCAGAAAGGCCACUUGACCCAGACUGUGACUCACAGUGCUCCAUCUUGUCCAGGAAUCCUGGAGCACCAAAUGAUAAUACCGGGAGAAAGACACCUGCUUACAUGGAGAGAAAGACACUCUUCCUCCUCCUUCAUUCGGUGGACCUGUUUCCCACUCUGUAGAGCGCUUUGUGAAAGUGUGGAGACAAUCUUAAUGCAGGGCUGACCCCAGGGAAUACUCCUUAAGGGACCAGGGGACAAAUGGGUUAAGGUCCUAGAGUUGAAACAACUGAUGGGCAGAACCCACCCUGCUCCAUGGUGGGUGGGGCAAGCCCAAGAGUGACAGCUGUCUGCUCCUGUGAGGGGAAAAGAUGCCAAAGACCAAGCAAUGGAAGGCACAGAAGUGGGAGCGGAGGGUAAGAAGCCCCACCAUAGAUCUGAACACUGGGUCAUUAGGAAGUGGCAUAACUUGAGAGGGAUUGGGGGCGUGGCCUUGUUGGAGAAAAAACGUGUCACUGGGGAUGGGCUUUGAGGUUUGGGAUGCUCAA
Non-coding RNA from Rattus norvegicus (Norway rat), 8870 nucleotides. The record is from RefSeq and is a predicted model, not a curated record. NCBI's taxonomy places the organism in Eukaryota, Metazoa, Chordata, Mammalia, Rodentia, Muridae.